GGUCCGUUGGUCAAGUGGUCAAGACGCCGCCCUCUCACGGCGGAAACACGGGUUCGACUCCCGUACGGACUA
Molecule: transfer RNA, 72 nt
Filed under: Lachnospiraceae bacterium
Lineage: Bacteria; Bacillati; Bacillota; Clostridia; Lachnospirales; Lachnospiraceae
Description: tRNA-Glu
Rfam family: tRNA
About the family: Transfer RNA (tRNA) molecules are approximately 80 nucleotides in length.
Source: RNAcentral